RNAcentral lists this ribosomal RNA (1151 nucleotides) under Acinetobacter baumannii Naval-21. Its description in RNAcentral is "bacterial LSU rRNA". It matches the Rfam family "Bacterial large subunit ribosomal RNA", at positions 1610 to 2744 of the family's 2925-position model. The record is from RNAcentral. Lineage: Bacteria; Pseudomonadati; Pseudomonadota; Gammaproteobacteria; Moraxellales; Moraxellaceae.
AGGAAAAGUCUCUAAGCUUCAGUUACACAGGAAUCGUACCCGAAACCGACACAGGUGGUCAGGUCGAGUAGACCAAGGCGCUUGAGAGAACUCUGCUGAAGGAACUAGGCAAAAUGGUACCGUAACUUCGGGAGAAGGUACGCUGUUGUUGGUGAUGGAACUCGCUUCCUGAGCUGACGACAGCCGCAGAAACCAGGCCGCUGCAACUGUUUAUUAAAAACAUAGCACUCUGCAAACACGAAAGUGGACGUAUAGGGUGUGAUGCCUGCCCGGUGCUGGAAGGUUAAUUGAUGGGGUUAGCGUAAGCGAAGCUCUUGAUCGAAGCCCCAGUAAACGGCGGCCGUAACUAUAACGGUCCUAAGGUAGCGAAAUUCCUUGUCGGGUAAGUUCCGACCUGCACGAAUGGCAUAAUGAUGGCGGCGCUGUCUCCAGCAGAGGCUCAGUGAAAUCGAAAUCGCUGUGAAGAUGCAGUGUACCCGCGGCUAGACGGAAAGACCCCGUGAACCUUUACUGCAGCUUGACACUGAACUUUGACCUUACUUGUGUAGGAUAGGUGGGAGGCUUUGAAGCUGGAACGCUAGUUCCAGUGGAGCCGUCCUUGAAAUACCACCCUGGUAAUGUUGAGGUUCUAACUCUGUCCCGUGAUCCGGGACGAGGACCGUGUCUGGUGGGUAGUUUGACUGGGGCGGUCUCCUCCUAAAGAGUAACGGAGGAGUACGAAGGUGCGCUCAGCGUGGUCGGAAAUCACGCGUAGAGUAUAAAGGCAAAAGCGCGCUUAACUGCGAGACCCACAAGUCGAGCAGGUACGAAAGUAGGUCUUAGUGAUCCGGUGGUUCUGUAUGGAAGGGCCAUCGCUCAACGGAUAAAAGGUACUCUGGGGAUAACAGGCUGAUACCGCCCAAGAGUUCAUAUCGACGGCGGUGUUUGGCACCUCGAUGUCGGCUCAUCUCAUCCUGGGGCUGAAGCAGGUCCCAAGGGUAUGGCUGUUCGCCAUUUAAAGAGGUACGCGAGCUGGGUUUAGAACGUCGUGAGACAGUUCGGUCCCUAUCUACCGUGGGCGCUGGAAAUUUGAGAGGAUCUGCUCCUAGUACGAGAGGACCAGAGUGGACGAACCUCUGGUGUACCGGUUGUGACGCCAGUCGCAUCGCCGG